CCUACGGGAGGCAGCAGUGAGGAAUAUUGGUCAAUGGACGAGAGCCUGAACCAGCCAAGUAGCGUGAAGGAUGACUGCCCUAUGGGUUGUAAACUUCUUUUAUAUGGGAAUAAAAUGUUCCACGUGUGGGUUUUUGUAUGUACCAUAUGAAUAAGGAUCGGCUAACUCCGUGCCAGCAGCCGCGGUAAUACGGAGGAUCCGAGCGUUAUCCGGAUUGAUUGGGUUGAAAGGGAGCGUAGGUGGGUUGUUACGUCAGUUGUGAAAGUUUGCGGCUCAACCGUAAAAUUGCACUUGAGACUGGCAGGAUUGAGUAAAGUAGAGGUAGGGAGAAGGCGGGGUGUAGCGGUGAAAUGCUGAGAUA
Molecule: ribosomal RNA, 361 nt
Filed under: uncultured bacterium
Lineage: Bacteria
Description: partial 16S ribosomal RNA
Rfam family: Bacterial small subunit ribosomal RNA
Source: RNAcentral